Molecule: unclassified non-coding RNA, 217 nt
Filed under: Hevea brasiliensis (rubber tree)
Lineage: Eukaryota; Viridiplantae; Streptophyta; Magnoliopsida; Malpighiales; Euphorbiaceae
Source: RNAcentral
AUGUGCUACAUGCAUUCUCUGAUAAAUGUGUUUCAAAUCUUGUCUGUUAUCGUGUUAUCAUACAUUCAUUUUAAUAUUUGUAUUUUUAUCACAUUCAUUUAUGUUAUCCUUAUAUAUCCAAUAUUCACUCUCAUGCAAACUUGAUGUAUUAAAUUUGUAUAUAUUGAAAAAAAAAUGUGAACUGAUAUUACAAAGACAGUUUGCUUGGCUGUGGAAU